Molecule: long non-coding RNA, 431 nt
Organism: Drosophila willistoni
Lineage: Eukaryota; Metazoa; Arthropoda; Insecta; Diptera; Drosophilidae
Exons: 3
Source: RefSeq, a predicted model, not a curated record
GGAAGCGUUGGCGGCACAGACGGCGCUAAUCCGCCAUAUGGCAAUGGGAAAAAAACAGCGUGGUGCGCCGGGUUUGCUUCCCGUUGGAGUCGGUCUUGGAGAUUGUAGAUUUGGAGGAGCAGAUUACGCCGGAGAGGAGCAAAGAUUAUACCUCCCAAGUGUCUGCCCUCCUCGGCCAAGCGGCUUUGCAGAAGUCAAUUAAAAAACUUUUCUCCGAAGCUGUGAUGGAAAACCACAAUAUGGACGGCAAAAACGGAAAGUUGAGCCUUCGGACGUACCAGAAGUUGUUGAAUGUAAUACUGGAGCUAGUUCAAACGAUACUUCCGGGGCAGCCAGCGGAAGGAGCGCUUCGGAGUGCACUGGCUUGCGCCAAAAAUACCGCGAACAAGGCGAAAAACAGAAAGUUGAAGGAAGGGGCCAAAAUGUAAUAU